RNAcentral lists this ribosomal RNA (1205 nucleotides) under Godronia cassandrae. RNAcentral describes it as "LSU rRNA". It matches the Rfam family "Eukaryotic large subunit ribosomal RNA", at positions 75 to 1757 of the family's 3401-position model. The record is from RNAcentral. Lineage: Eukaryota; Fungi; Ascomycota; Leotiomycetes; Helotiales; Godroniaceae.
UUACCUCAGUAACGGCGAGUGAAGCGGUAACAGCUCAAAUUUGAAAUCUGGGUCUUUUAGGCUCCGAGUUGUAAUUUGUAGAAGAUGCUUCGGGUGUGGCCCCGGUCUAAGUUCCUUGGAACAGGACGUCAUAGAGGGUGAGAAUCCCGUAUGUGACUGGGUGCUUUCGCUCAUGUGAAGCUCUUUCGACGAGUCGAGUUGUUUGGGAAUGGCAGCUCAAAAUGGGUGGUAUAUUUCCAUCUAAAGCUAAAUAUUGGCCAGAGACCGAUAGCGCACAAGUAGAGUGAUCGAAAGAUGAAAAGCACUUUGGAAAGAGAGUUAAACAGUACGUGAAAUUGUUGAAAGGGAAGCGCUUGCAAUCAGACUUGCACGCCGUUAAUCAUCCAGGGUUCUCUCUGGUGCACUUGGCGGCGUUCAGGCCAGCAUCGGUUUUAGGGGUGGGAUAAAGGCCUUGGGAAUGUAGCUUCUUUCGGGAAGUGUUAUAGCCCUCGGUGCAAUGCCGCCUCCUGGGACCGAGGACCGCGCUUCGGCUAGGAUGCUGGCGUAAUGGUUGUAAGCGACCCGUCUUGAAACACGGACCAAGGAGUCUAACAUUUAUGCGAGUAUUUGGGUGUUAAACCCAUAUGCGGAAUGAAAGUGAACGGAGGUAGGAACCCUUAAGGGUGCACUAUCGACCGAUCCUGAUGUCUUCGGAUGGAUUUGAGUAAGAGCAUAACUGUUGGGACCCGAAAGAUGGUGAACUAUGCGUGAAUAGGGUGAAGCCAGAGGAAACUCUGGUGGAGGCUCGCAGCGGUUCUGACGUGCAAAUCGAUCGUCAAAUUUGCGUAUAGGGGCGAAAGACUAAUCGAACCAUGAGUGGGUACUAGGUGGUUAAGAGAUCGCUGAGAGGCGAUUUAGUGGGCAUCGCGCCGCGACACCGUCAAAUUGCGGGGGACGUCCUGGGGGAAGGCAAGCUACCGCAGCCGUUGGGCGAAAGCCCCGGUGCGCACCGGGUUAACGACCUUGGGGGAUGGAAUAACGCUUGUGGAGGGAUAAUUCGCAGCCAAACCCGGUCACAGGGUGCAGUUCACAGACUAAAUGUCGGUGGGCAUCUGCCUCCGGGCAUUUGCUUAAGUUAUAGUCGUUCUCUCGGGCGACCGAGCCGGUGGGAAGAAGCGGGAAGGGUAGCGAGCUUCAGCCCUACCCGCCCAAGCCCCCGGGCCUCU